GCGGAGAUGGCGGAAUAGGCAGACGCGCAGGCUUCAGGUGCCUGUGGUGGCAACAUCGUGUGGGUUCAAGUCCCAUUCUCCGCA
Molecule: transfer RNA, 84 nt
Filed under: Lachnospiraceae bacterium
Lineage: Bacteria; Bacillati; Bacillota; Clostridia; Lachnospirales; Lachnospiraceae
Description: tRNA-Leu
Rfam family: tRNA
About the family: Transfer RNA (tRNA) molecules are approximately 80 nucleotides in length. Their secondary structure includes four short double-helical elements and three loops (D, anti-codon, and T loops).
Source: RNAcentral